This 1476-nucleotide long non-coding RNA is filed under the name Cyanistes caeruleus (blue tit). RNAcentral describes it as "lncRNA (ENSCCEG00000017560.1)". The record is from RNAcentral. Lineage: Eukaryota; Metazoa; Chordata; Aves; Passeriformes; Paridae.
AAAUGAGUGAGGGUGCAUUUCUACUUACUUGUGCUUUACAGCUAGAUCUGUGUUUAAAGAGAAUAGUGUCUAGAAAGAAAAAAUUAAUCCUAAUUCCUCUCUCAGGAGUCUCUAGACAGAGCCAGCUGCAAAGGAAGAUUGAUUGGAAAAUCAGGACUAGCACAUCAAGGCGUUGCCUAACCCACGUUAACUCCUCUUGGGGUACAGUGGCCACAUGGACACAAAACUGAGGAACCACUCACUGGCUGCCUGGGCCAAAAUGAACUCCUUGGGGGCAUUUUAUAGAGGCCUGGAUUUCUGGAAAAAAAUGUCACAGUAUUGUGAAAUCAGGAAGGGAAUUACUAAUAGGAAAGCAGAUUUCUGGAGACAUUUAGGACAGUUUUGCCUUCCUGCUAUCAGAUGUUUCAAGCCUGAGGAAGCCAGCCAGAUACAGGAAAAGGACAAAGAAUACGGAGAAGGUAAACUGCUGUAUGAAGUGUGAACAGCUCAUCUUCCCUUAACACAGCCCAUUUUACCACUGGAUCCAUCUUUUCUUUCAACAGCCUUUCCCACUGCUUAGUCCUCUUCUUGUUUUGCCUCUUUUCUUAGCCUGGUUAUCAGCAAAGUCAUUGCUGAUAAAAUCUGACUGGCAUGGAAGGUGUUGGCUGUGUGACUUGAGGACUGGAGGCUGAGUCAUGAACAGCAUGCACAGGACCUGGUGAAACUCUGGUCUGACCUGGUGUGCCCUAAAGUCCUGUUAUUAACCAGUUUCUUCAUACCUGAAUGUGAGUCAGGCAGUUCCUCAACAAGGCAGAAAUGGAUUCUGUGUGGUGAAACCUUGGAUUCCUUAUCCUGGUGCUACUGAUGAGUGUGAAAAGAACUUGGAUAUGUUUUAUGCCUUUAUCUGUCUAGGGCCUUUAGAAGGUUUUUUAGCUGAAGCCUCUCCAGUGAUGAUGAUUUCCAGCAGGGCUGGCGAUAACCUGCUGCCGAAGGAUGAGGCGCUGCUUCCCUCAGCGCAGCUCGCAGAAGCACCUGCAGUCAGUGCCAGCACAUUUUGGAGUUGUUUUCCACACCAAUCUCCUUUGGCAGGGCAGGGUGGGAGCGAGCUGCAUUGCUUAAGGCAGGGUAACACGUGCUCCCAUGGCAGACAGGGAUCUGUAGCAGAGACCCUGCUCUAAGAAGGGGGUCUGCUCUCUGCAGCUGCCAGGGCUGCGUGUGAUUAGUCAGCCCUGAUGCUGAGCUCUGCAGAUUAAUGUGUUCCUCUCCCCCCAUUACAUCCCUUCUCCACGAGGCAGUCUAUCUCUUGCAUCAGUAAUGACCAGCUGCAGAGCCUCAGGGUUUUCUCUAGCUACUUUUAACUGAUCUAGAACUUAUUUUUUCCAUGCUCUGCCUUUUCCUUGAUUGGUAAAUUCCCCAAUGUCUUUAAUCAAGCUGUGUUGAGCCUAGCAGUUCUGGCAAGUUUUCUUUUGUUUUAAUAAAAGGUGAGUUUGCUCCCCA